GAUGAACGCUGACAGAAUGCUUAACACAUGCAAGUCUUUGGCGAAGCUGUGCUUGCACAGCCUAGCCAAGGCGGACGGGUGAGUAACGCGUAAGGAACUUGCCCUGCAGUCAGGGAUAACAGACGGAAACGACUGAUAAGACCUGGUAAAGUCAGGCGGACUCAUGUCCAGCCUGAUGAAAAGAGAUGCUGCAGGAGAGCCUUGCGUCCUAUUAGCUUGUUGGGGGGUAACGGCCCACCAAGGCGAUGAUAGGUAGCCGGCCUGAGAGGGUGGACGGCCACAAGGGGACUGAGAUACGGCCCUUACUCCUACGGGAGGCAGCAGUGGGGAAUAUUGGACAAUGGGGGCAACCCUGAUCCAGCAAUUCUGUGUGCACGAUGAAGGUUUUCGGAUUGUAAAGUGCUUUCAGCAGGGAAGAAAAAAAUGACGGUACCUGCAGAAGAAGCGACGGCUAAAUACGUG
This 462-nucleotide ribosomal RNA is filed under the name uncultured bacterium. Its description in RNAcentral is "partial 16S ribosomal RNA". It matches the Rfam family "Bacterial small subunit ribosomal RNA", at positions 28 to 507 of the family's 1533-position model. The record is from RNAcentral.